UUUAUGUCCUGAAGUGUUUCUGUUUUUAUUGUUUUCUCCUGUCCUGGUUAAUUGCAGAUACUGGGAAUACAUAAGCUCCUUAUUUUUAGGUACUGCGAGUACCUUCCUAAGGUGGUGUAACUUUGCCUGUGCAGCCAAGCAGCAGGAUUUGUCAGAGGCAUUGAUACUUAACGGUGGCAUUAAAACUGAUUCAGUCACUGUUUAUUGCAUCAGGAGCUUGCCAGGGGAUGUAGUCACCACGAGUAAACUGUUGGAUCAACCAGGAGACCUCUCUGGAAUUUCUCACAGGAAUGGCAGAAGCGAGAGGAGGACUAGAUGAAUUACUCUGCUGUGCUACAGUUCAGGGACAGCAGGCUGGGAAUUUAUCUUUGUACAGACUAUUUAUAUGCUCGUAAGGCCUUUGUUGCAGCAAGAGGUUUCUCUUCUCCAGGGAUAAAGCUGUGGCUGCAGUGAGUGACAGCGAUUUAGAUAAACCAGCCAUUAUUCAGCAAGCAAUAGCCUCUCGUUGUGGUGCUAUAAUGACAUGGUUAUUUGUAAUUACACAGAAUCACAGAAUCAUAGGGGUUGGAAAGGACCUCUGGAGAUCAUCUAGUGCAGUUGUCCUGCCAGAGCAAGUUCAUUGCUUUCUUUCUGCAAGAAAAAAAAAAAAUAUCCACACUUUCUGCUGCUUAAAAAAUAGAUUUUAAAUAGAAGUCUGCUUUACAGAACAAGAAGCUAAGUCCUGCAGGGCUGUCCCCCUGAGAUGUCCCAUUCAUGUUACCACUUCAGUAGUAACGAUAUAUUCUGCUCUGAUGUCUUACACUGCCAAAACCAUUAAUUGGUCUGUUGUUUGUUUUUUAUUUUUUGGUUUU
Molecule: long non-coding RNA, 851 nt
Organism: Calidris pugnax (ruff)
Lineage: Eukaryota; Metazoa; Chordata; Aves; Charadriiformes; Scolopacidae
Exons: 3
Source: RefSeq, a predicted model, not a curated record